AUUAGACGAAUCAUCUGGAAAGAUGAAUCAAAGAAGGUAAUAAUCCUGUAGUCGAAAAUGUUGUCUCUCUUGAGUGGAUCCUGAGUACGACGGAGCACGUGAAAUUCCGUCGGAAUCUGGGAGGACCAUCUCCUAAGGCUAAAUACUCUCUAGUGACCGAUAGUGAACCAGUACCGUGAGGGAAAGGUGAAAAGCACCCCGGAAGGGGAGUGAAAUAGAACCUGAAACCGUGUGCUUACAAGUAGUCAGAGCCCGUUAAUGGGUGAUGGCGUGCCUUUUGUAGAAUGAACCGGCGAGUUACGAUUUGAUGCAAGGUUAAGCAGUAAAUGUGGAGCCGUAGCGAAAGCGAGUCUGAAUAGGGCGUUUAGUAUUUGGUCGUAGACCCGAAACCAGGUGAUCUACCCUUGGUCAGGUUGAAGUUCAGGUAACACUGAAUGGAGGACCGAACCGACUUACGUUGAAAAGUGAGCGGAUGAACUGAGGGUAGCGGAGAAAUUCCAAUCGAACCUGGAGAUAGCUGGUUCUCUCCGAAAUAGCUUUAGGGCUAGCCUCAAGUGA
RNAcentral lists this ribosomal RNA (558 nucleotides) under Staphylococcus aureus. RNAcentral describes it as "partial 23S ribosomal RNA". It matches the Rfam family "Bacterial large subunit ribosomal RNA", at positions 328 to 889 of the family's 2925-position model. The record is from RNAcentral. Lineage: Bacteria; Bacillati; Bacillota; Bacilli; Caryophanales; Staphylococcaceae.